GGGGGCGUUCUGGUUUCGACGGGUCGUCUUAGUUCGGGGCUGCAUGCCGAGGAUGGUUCGUUGGCCUCGUAAAUCAUCGGACCAAACAAACAACAGCAAACUCUAACGAGCUCGCUCUCGCGGCCUAAGCACCGCGACGUCCUUUCAGUAAUGUCUAGUAGCUGAAACGACGUCUUUACUAGACUGGUCAAAAGACCGCGCACGCGGGUCUGAGAUGAGAUGAACAGGGUGCUGGGUGAAGCGGAUGCAGUCUUUAGCAGCCCCCCACCGAGACUAAACAUAAGACUGAGCAUGGAGACGCCACGGAUGAUGGUGAUUCGGACAGGGGUUCAACUCCCCUCGCCUCCACCA
Molecule: transfer-messenger RNA, 351 nt
Filed under: Verrucomicrobiaceae
Lineage: Bacteria; Pseudomonadati; Verrucomicrobiota; Verrucomicrobiia; Verrucomicrobiales
Also listed under: 1 other name
Description: JAEUHM01 sp016795485 Standard tmRNA
Rfam family: transfer-messenger RNA
About the family: Bacterial tmRNA, also known as 10Sa RNA or SsrA, is named for its dual tRNA and mRNA-like properties. Its role is to liberate the mRNA from a stalled ribosome.
Source: RNAcentral